RNAcentral lists this transfer RNA (74 nucleotides) under Trematosphaeria pertusa. It matches the Rfam family "tRNA". Rfam says of the family: Transfer RNA (tRNA) molecules are approximately 80 nucleotides in length. Their secondary structure includes four short double-helical elements and three loops (D, anti-codon, and T loops). Further hydrogen bonds mediate the characteristic L-shaped molecular structure. tRNAs have two regions of fundamental functional importance: the anti-codon, which is responsible for specific mRNA codon recognition, and the 3' end, to which the tRNAs corresponding amino acid is attached (by aminoacyl-tRNA synthetases). tRNAs cope with the degeneracy of the genetic code in two manners: having more than one tRNA (with a specific anti-codon) for a particular amino acid; and 'wobble' base-pairing, i.e. permitting non-standard base-pairing at the 3rd anti-codon position. The record is from Rfam by way of RNAcentral. Lineage: Eukaryota; Fungi; Ascomycota; Dothideomycetes; Pleosporales; Trematosphaeriaceae.
GGUCUCUUAGCUCAGUUGGUUAGAGCGUGGUGCUAAUAACGCCAAGGUCGCGAGUUCGACCCUCGUAGAGACCA